Teleopsis dalmanni is the source of this 454-nucleotide long non-coding RNA. RefSeq lists it as uncharacterized. The record is from RefSeq and is a predicted model, not a curated record. The transcript is spliced from 3 exons. NCBI's taxonomy places the organism in Eukaryota, Metazoa, Arthropoda, Insecta, Diptera, Diopsidae.
GAAAACUGUUCCAAUUCCAUUUUGGACUUAUCGUCGACGCUAUCUUGACGCACAUUUUUUAAAUCGCUUCUGAAAAUAUUUUGCUAUUUAAGCUAUUUUUCACAGUUUCACAAAAGUUUUAAUUGUAGACUGGAUAUGGCUGUUAUAACAUCGUCAAAGGAAUCAUUAUCACAAGCUUUACAAAAUCGAAUAAUACCUAAUCAAGAGUACUUACUACAAGGAUCUGUUUUAGAUUCUACUGUCGAACAUUUGAAACAAAGGAAAGAAGAACAGCUGCGCUAAGUUACGUUAUGUGUUUCCCUGUGGGCUACCUAGUGUAAUGAACCUCCUUUUGUUGAGGGUGUCUAUAGCUGGGAUAGUUCAGCCACAGCCAGGGUCCUUACAAGAAAAUUUAUAUAUACUCGACUCUGAGUACUGGUUUACCUACCGAUCAUUUUCUAUGGUCUCAAUUUAC